UACGUAGGGGGCAAGCGUUGUCCGGAAUUAUUGGGCGUAAAGAGCGUGUAGGCGGUCCGGUAAGUCGGCUGUGAAAGUCCUGGGCUCAACCCUGGGAUGCCGGUCGAUACUGCCGGACUAGAGUUCGGAAGAGGCGAGUGGAAUUCCCGGUGUAGCGGUGAAAUGCGCAGAUAUCGGGAGGAACACCUAUGGCGAAGGCAGCCCCCUGGGCUAACACUGACGCUCAUGCACGAAAGCGUGGGGAGCAAACAGG
This 253-nucleotide ribosomal RNA is filed under the name uncultured bacterium. Its description in RNAcentral is "partial 16S ribosomal RNA". It matches the Rfam family "Bacterial small subunit ribosomal RNA", at positions 524 to 776 of the family's 1533-position model. The record is from RNAcentral.